GAUGAACGCUAGCGGCAGGCUUAAUACAUGCAAGUCGAGGGGCAGCACGGGUAGCAAUACCUGGUGGCGACCGGCAAACGGGUGCGGAACACGUACGCAACCUUCCCAUAACUGGUGAAUAGCCUUCCGAAAGGGAGAUUAAUACACCGUAACAUAACGAAGUGGCAUCACUUUGUUAUUAUAGGCUUCGGCCGGUUUUGGAUGGGCGUGCGCCUGAUUAGGUAGUU
RNAcentral lists this ribosomal RNA (227 nucleotides) under uncultured bacterium. RNAcentral describes it as "partial 16S ribosomal RNA". It matches the Rfam family "Bacterial small subunit ribosomal RNA", at positions 28 to 250 of the family's 1533-position model. The record is from RNAcentral.